This is a long non-coding RNA of Helianthus annuus (common sunflower), 2333 nucleotides long. RefSeq lists it as uncharacterized. Lineage: Eukaryota; Viridiplantae; Streptophyta; Magnoliopsida; Asterales; Asteraceae. The record is from RefSeq and is a predicted model, not a curated record. The transcript is spliced from 10 exons.
UGAGAAGAGGUUUGCAGACAUAUGGACAGGUCUGCGUGGGGAAGAGGUGGGGAAGACCUUUUAGGUGAGAAGUGCUUCCGGAAAACAAACAAGCUGCAGACAUCAAACGUCUGCGCGCGUCUGCGCGACGCAGACAUAAGUGGCCAGAAGCACUUCUGGCAAAAAAACAAACACCACCUAAAAUUGUUCCUAAUUUCCAGGCUUUUAGCUAAGAAAUAGCAUCCACUCUCGCCUAAUUUGUGAUGGUUUACGGUGGUUUCCUGAUCGUGGAGACUUUCUCCGUCUUUCUCUGCUACUGCAACCGUAUACUAUCUCCUUUAUAUUCCACAAAAAUUUCAGUAUUUCUAUCAAAACGCAUCUUCUCCACCACCACUCCCUCCUUCGUGACGGCAUGAUAGUGAUUCCAGAGAGAACAUAAAUGAUGACACAGACAUUGAUCGUCCAACUAAUAGUCGUUCUGAAUAGUACGAAUGACCUAAUCCUUCUUCUUCGGGGCCACCUUCAGAGUGAUAACAAGCGUCGUGGUAUAAGCCCUAGCCCUCCUCUACCUCCGUAUCUUGACCGUCAUGGUGGACACUCUUCAUCUCCUCAAUCGUGGCUACGAUGGUCGUGGCAGGCCUUGCUAAGGUUUCGGAUAUGGUGAUAAAAGUUCUAUUCAACUCAAAUUAUCUGAAUUCUGUAAUAUACCUUACAAAAUUCGUACUCAAUGAGCUUAAUAUUGAAGAGGGUUACCGCGGUGAAAACGGAGAUUUAUCAACAUGAGAAACAUGGAUGUAUUUAUAAUGGAAAGAAUUGAUGGAGAACAAAGAUUAUAGAAGAACUGAGAUGAAGAUGACGAUGUUGAAUUCAAAGCUUGAGUUGGUGAAAAGUGUCACGCUUCCAAACGUCUCAUUCAGGGGCAGUUUAGCUUGGGAGUCAUUCAGGUGCACUGUAUCUUUCCUAUUUGCCUUUGAUGCAAGUUUUAGGCUGUGAGUUGUUUAAUUUUAAUGAUACGUUCUCUUAUGACAUGAAUUUGGGUUGUUUUAGUAUCUAUUGUUGAGAAAUGUGAAUUUUAGUUUAAUCUCUGGUGAGUGAAGAGAAAGUAUCAUGUAUGUGAGAUGAGUUUGAUUAUUUGAAUGAUGAUCUGGCGUAUUGCUUUAUAUUGUUUUUGAGUUAAUGUGGUGUCUUUAUUAUUACAGAUUCAUAAGAGUAAAAAGGAAAAGGAGGUCUAUGAUGAAAUGAUAUACAAGAGUAGAUAUUUCAAGGUUCUUAUCAGUGAUCAUUGUUGAUAUAUUAGUAGGCAUGGAAGCUAGGCACAAGGAAGAAAAUGAUCACUAACUGAUCAAAAAAUUGGAUGAACAGUUCAUAGAAAAGAAGUAGAACCUGAUCAGGAAAAAGUUGAAGCUUGUGAUAUAUGUGCUCGCCCAUCAAAUAGACCAGAAACACAUGAAGAACUUGCAUAAGACGACAUAGAGCGAUUAGAACAUUUGGAGGCAAAGACGUUAAUGACAUUUCUGCAACUAACUUGGGUAGAUUCAUCUUGGUUAGAAAGAAUGGUAUUGGAAUUGAAAAUUAAAAAAGACAGUGAUUAACAAGUUUAUUGACUUUAGGUAUGUGAUAUCAUCCACUGGGCAGCCAUGGGAACUAUCUUCAUUAGUUUCUCUUGACACAACUGAAAGAAUGUCACCAUCUUAUAGGACAUAUGAAAGAGAAACUCAUUGAUGCGAUUCAUAUUGGUGACAUGAAAAUCCUCAAGAUCUUGCUUAAUCUCAGGAAUGACCCGCUGCGACUUGUGUAAGGUUUAGUUAAUUGCACAUUUGAUCACAUGGCUCGUACAUUCUUUCAUAAAUUGUUGGCGUACUUAUCUUCUGAAGAAGACAACGAUGAUGAUCUUAAUGUGGAUGUCGAAGGACAGUGUAUUCGCAAACGUCCUAAGUUUAUUCAACACGAUCAUAUUCAAGAAUGAGUUUUAGUGGUUUGAAAAGAAAAAAAAGAAAAAGUUAGAUGGUUACAACCUUUUCAAAAAUGGAUAUGGAAAAGAAGAAAAGGAGAAGCGUUCCCGAACACCCUCAAUAUACAUUAUCUUUGUUUGUUACGUUGUUAGCGUAAGCCGUCCAACGGACGGGUAUUAAACUAGUUAUAUAUUUGCUAUAGCCCAUUGUACUCAUCCUAAGAUAUCAUACAAUAUACAAGUUCAGUUGUUGUUGGGGACAUAGGGUCCACUCACUGAAUUUUGUUGUAGAGAGAGAACCAACAAAGACCUGUUGUAAGAAGUUCAUAUUGCUAUUCUGACUGACCCAGGUCAAGAUUAGAACUGGGCUGCAUGGAAUUGAGAAUGUAUGAUUUUCAUGUGA